This 253-nucleotide ribosomal RNA is filed under the name uncultured bacterium. Its description in RNAcentral is "partial 16S ribosomal RNA". It matches the Rfam family "Bacterial small subunit ribosomal RNA", at positions 524 to 776 of the family's 1533-position model. The record is from RNAcentral.
UACGAAGGGGGCUAGCGUUGCUCGGAAUCACUGGGCGUAAAGGGUGCGUAGGCGGGUCUUUAAGUCAGGGGUGAAAUCCUGGAGCUCAACUCCAGAACUGCCUUUGAUACUGAGGAUCUUGAGUUCGGGAGAGGUGAGUGGAACUGCGAGUGUAGAGGUGAAAUUCGUAGAUAUUCGCAAGAACACCAGUGGCGAAGGCGGCUCACUGGUCCGGUACUGACGCUGAGGUGCGAAAGCGUGGGGAGCGAACAGG